GACGUAAUAACUCAGUGGUAGAGUAUUGGAUUCAUAACCCAAAUGUCGGGGGUUCGAGUCCCCCUUACGUCA
This 72-nucleotide transfer RNA is filed under the name Candidatus Shikimatogenerans bostrichidophilus. Its description in RNAcentral is "tRNA-Met". It matches the Rfam family "tRNA". From Rfam's summary of the family: Transfer RNA (tRNA) molecules are approximately 80 nucleotides in length. The record is from RNAcentral. Lineage: Bacteria; Pseudomonadati; Bacteroidota; Flavobacteriia; Flavobacteriales.